CUUAUUUUGGCUUAGUUACGAUUAAUAGGAGUAGCUUGGAGGCAUUUGUAUUCAGAUGUCAGAGGUGAAAUUCUUAGAUUUUCUGGAGACAAACAACUGCGAAAGCAUUUGCCUAAAAUACUUCCAUUAAUCAAGAACGAAAGUUAAGGGAGUGAAGACGAUCAGAUACCGUCGUAAUCUUAACCAUAAACUAUGCCGACUAGGUUUUGGAUGAAACAUUUUUAAAUAAGAAAAUUCCUUUCGGGGAAAUUUCUUAGAUUGCUUCCUUCAGUACCUUAUGAGAAAUCAAAGUCUUUGGGUUCUGGGGCGAGUAUUCGCGCAAGCGAGAAAGUUAAAAGAAUUGACGGAAGGGCACCACCAGGCGUGGAGCUUGCGGCUUAAUUUGACUCAACACGGGGAAACUC
Molecule: ribosomal RNA, 404 nt
Filed under: Plasmodium ovale curtisi
Lineage: Eukaryota; Apicomplexa; Aconoidasida; Haemosporida; Plasmodiidae
Description: SSU rRNA
Rfam family: Eukaryotic small subunit ribosomal RNA
Source: RNAcentral